AUUUUGAAAGGGGUUGUAGCUGGCCUCUUUAUCGGAGGCAUGUGCACACCCUGUUCAUCCAUUCUACACCUGUGCACACCUUGUAGGUUGGUUUUGAAUGGGUCUUCUUAUGAGGACUUGUUGAGACCUUCCUAUGUUUUUAUACACACACUUUGUCAGUUAAAGAAUGUAAUCGCGUUUAACGCAUUUUAUACAACUUUCAGCAACGGAUCUCUUGGCUCUCGCAUCGAUGAAGAACGCAGCGAAAUGCGAUAAGUAAUGUGAAUUGCAGAAUUCAGUGAAUCAUCGAAUCUUUGAACGCACCUUGCGCUCCUUGGUAUUCCGAGGAGCAUGCCUGUUUGAGUGUCAUGGAAUUCUCAACCCUCUCAUCUUUGUUGUGAGUUGGGCUUGGAUUUGGAGGCUUUGCUGGUUUUUGUAAAUCAGCUCCUCUUGAAUGCAUUAGCUUAAACCUCUGCGGAACGGCUGUUCGGUGUGAUAAUUGUCUACGCCGUGCGUCGUGAAGCUUUGUUACACUUUGUUGUGUAAGGGGGUGUAGCUUCCAAUUGUCUCUUUAUUGGGACAAUAUUUGACCUCUGACCUCAAAUCAGGUA
This 590-nucleotide ribosomal RNA is filed under the name Antrodia sp. 753FPL. RNAcentral's name for it is "eukaryotic LSU rRNA". The stretch from base 195 to 348 matches the Rfam family "5.8S ribosomal RNA". The record is from RNAcentral. Lineage: Eukaryota; Fungi; Basidiomycota; Agaricomycetes; Polyporales; Fomitopsidaceae.